CGAAGACAACCGUGAAGAGUCUUCUAUCACAAUUAUGUGAAAAGAAUCUCAUUAAUGAAGAGCUCAAGGACAGACUUGAGUUCUACUCAGGUACGAUGAAAUUACCACUGUGAAAUGUAUUUAUUAGCUAAAACUUGUAGUCAUAAUUGAAGGUGACAUGUGAAUUUUGCCUCAUAUUAUUUCAGAUCUUAAACUAGACUUCAUGGCCAGACGAGGUCAUGAGUACUCAAAGGAGCACAGGGAAUUUGCCCUGACCCUCCAUCUUCAUAGUCCUAAGGCAUACAGAUACCUUAGAGACACUAUGAACUUUCCCCUCCCCCAUCCACAUACAUUACAAAGGUAGUCCUAAUGUUAUCAAAUUCAGUUUCGGGAAGUUACAUACAGUAGUAUAGGCUAUAUGUUUAACUGCUAUACCUCAAUAUUUUUUGUACAGAUGGCUUUGUUCUGUGGAUGACAAGCCUGGCCUGAACAAAAUGAUGUUGGAUAUGCUGGAGGAAAGACGGAAGUAUGACCAUGCUAAAUAUGGGCGUGUUGCACUCAUGUUAGAUUCCAUGGCCAUAAGAAAACAUGUGCAAUAUAAUCCGCACAACCAGUCAAUGUCUGGCUUUGUAGACAUGGGUGAUGGAAACAAUGAGACUGAUGUUGCUACUGAGGCGCUUGUGUUCCUGGUUGUUGGCCUUCAAGGACAUUGGAAGGCUCCCAUUGCAUAUUACCUGACGAAGACUCUGUCUCCAGACACACAAAGGGUCCUUCUCACUCAUGCAUUGGAGGAGCUGCAUGCACAGGGUAUUCAGGUGGUAUGUGUCACAAUGGAUGGCCAUGCUACAAACAUCAGCAUGUGCAAUCAACUUGGUUGUGAGCUGAGGGGUAACCCAGAAGAGCCACUUAAAACCAGUUUCCCACAUCCGUCGACUGGUGACCAAGUAUUUAUAAUGAUGGACGCAUGCCACAUGCUGAAGUUGGCACGUAAUAUGUUGCAGGUAAAUUACAAAUGUUGUAUACCUAUUUGUACAAGUUAUGUCUCUGCUACUAAAAGUUGCACAUUUAUUACUGGAUGUGAAGAUCAACAUUGUGCUGUUUGUACUUGUUUGAGCAGUGACAAAUUCUUUCUCUGCAGUCAUACAGUCCGAUUGCAUCUACCAGUGGACAGAUAAAUUGGAGGUACAUUGAUCAGCUCAAUGAUGU
Molecule: long non-coding RNA, 1185 nt
Filed under: Xyrichtys novacula (pearly razorfish)
Lineage: Eukaryota; Metazoa; Chordata; Actinopteri; Labriformes; Labridae
Source: RNAcentral